UUGGUUCCUUUGAGUUUUUCAGUCUG
RNAcentral lists this non-coding RNA (26 nucleotides) under Mus musculus (house mouse). Lineage: Eukaryota; Metazoa; Chordata; Mammalia; Rodentia; Muridae. The record is from RNAcentral.